GAGAGAGAGUAAUCACUAGGGGCCGUGACUGUGACUCUGUUUUCUUUCUUAACUCCUCCUAUAUUUCAACUUUGUCUUCUGAUUUGGAAGAUAUCAUUUGGGUUUCUGUUAGUGUUGUUAUUUGCUCAAGGAAAAGGAAAAAAACGAGGCUCUUCUCUCUGGCUUGAAGCAGCAGCCUUGCAGGGAGGAAAGAUUGAUUUUUUUUUUUUCAUCUACUGUUUUGGGUUCCUUGCAAAUACAUUCCUUGUACCAAAUGCGCAACAUUUAUGUUUAAUAUGGAAGUACUUAAACCAUGGGUCUCUGAUUCGUGUAGAAAGGGAACAACUUUAGCGUCCAAGAGACGGGAAUAGGUGACGUUGUGAUUCUUUAGCGUCUUUCUCGUGAAGAUUUUGAGUUGAAAUUCGAUUUUUAUCUCACUGCUAGUCCUUAUAGUUUUGAUUUUCGAAGCACUUGAAAGCUUCUCCUUCACUCUCUCGGGUUUUCAUAUUUGCGUUUGAGUUGCUCCCUCCCCGGCAAUUUGAAGUGUUUUAUUGGAGCAAAAUCUCUUCUUCAUUCAUUCUUUUUGAAGCCGCUUUGAGUUUGUUCCCUACUUUAUGCUGGAGUCUUGGUUUUUGACUAAAAUUCGAGCUUGUGGCUUGAAAGGUGUGGGUUUUCGGGGUUCUGUUGGUUUUGAGCUUCUGCUUUGUUUUAUAGGAUCUUGGUGCUUGUGGGCUUUUUAAGGUUCUAUGGAGAAAAGAAGAUACAGUCCCCAACUUACCGGCAAAGUCACAGCUCUGCUUUUGCUGAUGAGUUUUUGCUUUCACCUCAUAGUUGUACAAUGCCAAGAAAGUAGUACUAAAAUGAUAAGGCACCUCUCCACGGAUACUCCAUCGCCUUCUAGGCCACCCCAGUUUAGCACUGGACUCAAAAGAAUUCUUCUCAGCAUCGUUUUAGGAGUCUUAACUGGAUUAACAGGAGCCAUUCUUUGCGCUUGUGUGGUCCGUUUCUUGGUCCGCUACAUGAACCGAACCCCAAUCCUCAAGGGACCUGUCAUAUUUUCCCCAAAAAUCGCUCCCAAAACUCUUCAAUCAGCUCUUGCAAGUGAAAACCAGUUGCUAGGUUCCAGCUCAAAUGGGAAGUACUACCGGACGGUUCUAGAUAAUGGCUUCAUAGUUGCUGUCAAAAGGCUGGAACCAUUUGAGAAUGGUUCACCGGAGAGGCAGAGCAAGUCUGUCAAGCGAAGGAUACAGCAGGAGCUGGAAAUGUUAGCUAGCUUGAGACACAGGAAUUUGAUGAGUUUGCGGGCUUAUGUUCGGGAAUCUGAUAGGUUUUCACUGGUCUACGAUUAUGUGCGAACUGGGAGUCUUGAAGAUGCAAUGAAUAGAGUAAGGGAGAAUCAGUUGCAGCUCGGAUGGGAAGUUCGUCUUCGGAUUGCUGUUGGGGUUGUUAAGGGGCUUCGAUAUCUUCACUUUGAAUGCGUCCCUCAGAUUUUGCAUUAUAAUUUGAAACCCACAAAUGUGAUGUUGGAUGCGGAGUUUGAACCGAGGUUGGCAGAUUGUGGGUUGGCUAAGCUCAUGCCUAAUUUGGAUAGAACUACAUCUGGCUACAGUGCUUCCGAGUGCUUCCAGAAUUGCCGGUAUACUGACAAGAGUGACAUCUUCAGCUUUGGGAUGAUAUUGGGUGUUUUAUUAACUGGGAGAGACCCUACAGAUCCAUUCUUUGGGGAAGCAGCCAGUGGAGGUAGUUUAGGUCAUUGGCUUCGGCAUUUACAGCAGGCAGGGGAGGCAAGGGAAGCACUAGACAAGAGUAUUCUUGGGGAAGAAGGCGAGGAAGAUGAGAUGCUCAUGGCAGUGAGAAUUGCUGUUGUUUGUCUAUCAGAUUUGCCAGCAGAUAGGCCUUCAAGUGAUGAGCUUGUCCUAAUGCUAUCCCAACUACACAGCUUUUAACAGGAAUUGUAAGUAUGUAUGCUAAACUGCAGCCUGCAAAUUUUGGAAAUUGGAUUUUUUGCUCAGAGGGCCUUGGUCUGCCAUUCUUAUUCACUUAAAAUUUGUGGCAAAAGGCCAUAUAUAGUGUGGUGCAUGCAGCGGUAGCAUUUUUUGUGUAGUUUCCACCACUUGUUGAAAUUUGUAUGAUUUUCUUUCCUAUCACAGCAUAUGGUGUUGUGUACAUUACUUGUGUCUAAAUCUGUAACUAAAGAAUCAAGACUGAUAUAGUCAAGGGAAUUACUAACCCCAUAGAAGAGACUGUUCUAUCGACGACUACUAUGUGGGACACAUCUCUAUCAUUGUGUUCUCAACUAAUGAUGGUGGGGCUUUGUUGGCUAACUUUAUUUGGACAGAGCUUUUAUAAAAUAGCUGGUCCUUUUUCCUUAAAAAAUCAUGCAUGUCUCUUUUUAUCCACAUGGGCCAUGCUAGGCUUAAAGCAUUGCGGGAACCUUUAAACUUUUUUGCAUCAAAUUAGAACUUUGAUGGAAUAGUAUUUGUUGAUUCCUUCCAGGCAAAAUGUCAAAUGUUUUAAGAUGGUACCUUUUCAUGUUUAGCUUCAUAAAGUGUCUGGUUUCUCAGCAGGUAAUUUAAGAACGCUGAUGAAUAUUUUGGGAUCAUCCAUUUGUUGCAUCCAGGGAAGUUAAUCUAGUGGUUUCAGUUUGUACUAGUGCAAGUUGUGCCUUUGCCUCUGAAUUUUCUGGAGAACAUGCAUUUCAUCCUGGUGUCCAUGCAUAUCGUGUUAUUGACCAAACUAGGCUAUACACUGUUAUAAAAGUUAUUCCAAAACAACCUCCCUGCAAAGUAGGGAUAAGGCUAUAAGCAAUCAUUCCUAGAGCCUACAAGUAUGGAAUGUUUCGUGCACUGGAUCACUCACUUUACUUUUGCGGAGCUGUGGCUGUAGCAUAAUUAGACAUCAAACACAAGGUUAGACGAGAUGUAGAUCACAUAUUGCUCAUCUGCUUUAUUCACCGAUUGGUUGGUCUGGGGGAGGAUUUAAAGUUCAAAGCUAAAGAUAAAAGUAAUACUAGUCCCUAAAUGAAAGAAACCUGCAUAUGGAAUUCAGCAUUAUUUAUUUAUUGAAGACAAAACCCGAUUCCCUGAUUCUAAUUAAUGUGAUAGUGUAGAAGAAUGGAAAGUUGGCAGUAAAUCAAGUUCUGUACUCUAUUGCGUGACAAAUGUACCCCAUGAGGCGUGCAUGUCUGUGAGCAUGAAAAGAAUGGCCAAAAAAGAGAGUAGGAAGCUGGAUACUUUGGUCUGUGAGAGACUCAGAGCUCUUAUUCAUGCUCAAUUGUUCAUGCAGAUUGGGACCAAAAGUACCAUACUCCAAAAGGGUGAGGGAGGAAAAAAGCCUGGGGUUAGCAAACGACUACACUCACCUCUUACAGCUGUGAUUGCUAAUCUUGUCACAAAUGCCUAUUGUUAGCAUAGCAGCAUCAUUCUAUUUUAUCUGUCUAGAAUUGACCCAGCGCAUUCAUUUUGUUGGUUUAGUUUAGAUAUUCUUUGAAUUUAUAACAACACUUUAUCCUUGUAUUAUUUACUCAUUCACAUUCUGCUGAAAACAGAUGAUUAUUCCAUGUUUUCAAAGUUUGUUGCUCAAAUAAAGCAGGGUUCUAG
Molecule: unclassified non-coding RNA, 3578 nt
Filed under: Hevea brasiliensis (rubber tree)
Lineage: Eukaryota; Viridiplantae; Streptophyta; Magnoliopsida; Malpighiales; Euphorbiaceae
Source: RNAcentral